RNAcentral lists this ribosomal RNA (253 nucleotides) under uncultured bacterium. Its description in RNAcentral is "partial 16S ribosomal RNA". It matches the Rfam family "Bacterial small subunit ribosomal RNA", at positions 524 to 776 of the family's 1533-position model. The record is from RNAcentral.
UACAGAGGUCCCAAGCGUUGUUCGGAUUCAUUGGGCGUAAAGCGCACGUAGGCGGUUUUUUAAGUCAGAUGUGAAAGCCCCGGGCUCAACCUGGGAAUUGCAUUUGAAACUGGAAAACUAGAGUGUGUGAGAGGGGGGUAGAAUUCCAAGUGUAGCGGUGAAAUGCGUAGAGAUUUGGAGGAAUACCAGUGGCGAAGGCGGCCCCCUGGCACAACACUGACGCUCAGGUGCGAAAGCGUGGGGAGCAAACAGG